Molecule: unclassified non-coding RNA, 402 nt
Filed under: soil metagenome
Description: partial contains 5.8S ribosomal RNA, internal transcribed spacer 2, and large subunit ribosomal RNA
Rfam family: 5.8S ribosomal RNA (bases 1-121)
Source: RNAcentral
GAUGAAGAACGUAGUGAAAUGCGAUAAGUAAUGUGAAUUGCAGAAUUCAGUGAAUCAUCGAAUCUUUGAACGCACCUUGCGCCCUUUGGCUAUUCCGAAGGGCAUGCCUGUUUGAGUAUCAUGAACACCUCAACUCUCAUGGCUUGCUGUGAUGAGCUUGGAAUUUGGGGGUCUUGUUGGCUUGUGAGCCAGCUCCUCCUAAAUGAAUUAGCUUGCCGGUGUUUGGUGGCAUCACAGGUGUGAUAACUAUCUACUCUUGUGGUUUCCCAUCAGGUAACCUCCAGUGAUGGAGGUUCGCUGGGGCUCAUAAAUGUCUCUCCUCAGUGAGGACAGAUUUUGACUGUUUGAUCUCAAAUCAGGUAGGACUACCCGCUGAACUUAAGCAUAUCAAUAAGCGGAGGA